Molecule: long non-coding RNA, 2533 nt
Filed under: Canis lupus familiaris (dog)
Lineage: Eukaryota; Metazoa; Chordata; Mammalia; Carnivora; Canidae
Description: lncRNA (ENSCAFG00000056234.1)
Source: RNAcentral
AUGACUCAGGAACAAUUGGGGCCAUGUCCAUACUCACAGGAGCCCUGCUUCCUCAGGACCCCCUGGAGGACUCUGGAGGCGCUGUUGGGGGUCACGUCCACAUCAGAAGGGACUACUCAGAACCACAGGGGGCCUGGGAUGGAUGGACCUGUUCGAACCCUGAACUUAAAGAGGAAAGACCUUCAUUUUCUUGGCCUCCUUGCGUCCCCUCCCAUCCUAUCUAGCUCCUUCCCCGGAGCUCCUGAGAGAGCAAUUGCAAAUGACCUCAACUUGGCAGGGUCUGUUGGGGGACAGGCCCAGGGAUUUGGGAUCAGGGAGACCUGGGGUGCGGGCAUACCGGCUGUGCAUCGGGAUUUGAUGCUGCAGACUCAUUCCCUAAGGCUAUCUUGACAACUGACUUUGUACAUAGAAAAACUCUCCUUUAUCUUUAAAAGAUGAAGAGCCAGUCAAAGCCUUUUUUCUCUGCCCAUCUGAUUGCUCAGAUUCCAAUGUGAGACGUAUUUCCUGUUAAUAAGGAUAAUUUACUAUCCGUAGUACUAUGGUUAAAAUAUUCUGACACAAUUAAUUCAGAGGGAUGAGGGUUUCUCACCUCUUUCUUCACAGCUCAGUCACUCCUCAGGAAAUGCAUCUUUAUGGAUUUGGAAAGAACUGAGAGACAUUAUUACCAAUGGUCCUAUUAUUAUGUGAAGGAUCCUUCCCUGAGAUUCUUCCCCUGUUUCAACUGACACUGACACACUUUGAACUCUUUGGAAGACAAAUGUCAAGGAAAUAAAUGUUAUGCAUUGCUAAUUUUAAAUGCACUUGCAAUAUGGUGUCUAUUAUAAUAGAAGUAUUUUUAUCUGAUUUUUGCUAUUUAUUAUCUGUUCCUGCUUUUCAGGUUGAGGAGGCAUUAUACGUGUUCAUAAGUGUUUUUCUUUCCUUCUGAUAUAAAAUUCUUACUUUGUUUCCAUCAAAGGAACUCUUUAAGAAUAAGGCAAAAGUUAAUUCAACUAUUCUUAAAAUGUCUUCACACUUGGAGCCUGAUUCAUUUAAGUCAAUUUUCAAAAUAAAUCUUAUUUAUUAGGAAAGAAACAAUGAUUUAUAGGGAAAUUGAGAAGAUAGUACAGAGCAUUUGCAUGCACUUGCACUCAGUUUCUCCAAUGAUUGAUAUCUUAUAUCAGUACGGUACAAAUAUUAGCUAAUGAAUCAAUAUUAAAAUAUUCGCAUUAACCAAAGACGAUACUUUAUUCAGAUUUCCUUAGUUUUUGCUAAGUUACCACCCCUCAUAUGACAUUCCAUUUGUCCUCCUGUUUUCUUAGGCUCCUCUGGAUUGUGACAGUCUUUCAGCCUUUCCUUGUUGUUGUUGCACUGGAACACUUUGAGAAGUAGAGUAUUUUGUAAAAUUUCCCUCAGUUGAGACAUGUCUGUUGUUUAUCUCAUGAUUGAACUGUUUUUGUGGAUUAUAUACAGAGAUAUACUGCCAUUUUUAUUAUAUCAUAUAAAGGAUAGAUACUAUCAACAUGAUUUAUCAGUCUUGGUAUCGAUCUGAUCAUCUUGCUGAGGUAGUGUUUGUCAUCUUUCUCCAUAGUUAAGUGAUUCUUCCUCUUCUCUCUUCUUCUUCUUCUUCUUCUUCUUCUUCUUCUUCUUCUUCUUCUUCUUCUUCUUCUUCUCCUAUUAUUAUUAUUAUUAUCAUUAUAUUAUCAUUAUUAUUUUAAGUUUUUUAUAAUAUAUUUUGUAGAGGGAAGUUACUAUAUGUAUUCCACACGUAAGAGUGGGAAGCUAUGCUCACCAACUUGAGGGUGGAAUGUCUGCACAAAUUGUUUGAAAUUCUUCUACAUGGGAGAUUUCUCUUCCUUGUGUGUUUGUUUUUUUUUUUUUUUUUUUUCAAAGAUGUUAAUUAUUUGAGAGAGAGAGAGAGGAGAGAAAAACCAUGAGUGAGAGGGGCAGAUGGACAGGGAGAAGCAGAUUCCCUGCUGAACAGGGAGCCUACAUUGGGACCUGGAUCAUGAUCUGACUUAAGGCAGAAGCUUAACUGACUGAGCCACUCAGGUGCCCCUAUUUCUUUCUUUCUUUCUUUCUUUCUUUCUUUCUUUCUUUCUUUCUUUCUUUCUUUCUUUCUUUCUUUCUUCUUUCUUUCUUUCUUUCUUUCUUUCUUUCUUCUUUCUUUCUUUUUCUUUCUUCUUUCAAAUAAUAAAUUUACUUUUUAUUGGUGUUCAAUUUGCCAACAUACAGAAUAACACUCAGUGCUCAUCCCGUCAAGUGCCCCCCUCAGUGCCCGUCACACAUUCACAUCCACCCCUGCCCUCCUCCCCUUCCAUCACCCCUAGUUCGUUGCUCAGAGUUAGGAGUCUUUAUGUUCUGUCUCCCUUUCUGAUAUUUCCCACACAUUUCUUCUCCCUUCCCCUAUAUUCCCUUUCACUAUUAUUUAUAUUCCCCAAGUGAAUGAGAACAUACAAUGUUUGUCCUUCUCCAAUUGACUUACUUCACUCAGCAUAAUACCUUCCAGUUACAUCCACGUUGAAGCAAAUGGUGGGUAUUUGUCGUUUCUAAUGGA